Molecule: ribosomal RNA, 30 nt
Filed under: Undaria pinnatifida
Lineage: Eukaryota; Phaeophyceae; Laminariales; Alariaceae
Description: partial 16S ribosomal RNA
Source: RNAcentral
AAAAAAAUUGAGUUUGAUCCUGGCUCAGAG